CGGCACGCUAACACAUGCAAGUCGAACGGAGUUAAUUUGGUUUACUAAGAUUAACUAGUGGCGGACGGGUGAGUAACACGUGAGCAACCUGCCUUUGAGAGAGGGAUAGCUUCUGGAAACGGAUGGUAAUACCUCAUAAAAUAACGGAGCCGCAUGACUUUGUUAUCAAAGAUUUAUCACUCAAAGAUGGGCUCGCGUCUGAUUAGAUAGUUGGUGAGGUAACGGCUCACCAAGUCGACGAUCAGUAGCCGGACUGAGAGGUUGAACGGCCACAUUGGGACUGAGACACGGCCCAGACUCCUACGGGAGGCAGCAGUGGGGAAUAUUGCACAAUGGGGGGAACCCUGAAUGCAGCGAUGCCGCGUGGAGGAAGAAGGUUUUCGGAUUGUAAACUCCUGUCUUAAAGGACGAUAAUGACGGUACUUUAGGAGGAAGCUCCGGCUAACUACGUGCCAGCCGCUGC
RNAcentral lists this ribosomal RNA (463 nucleotides) under uncultured bacterium. RNAcentral's name for it is "bacterial SSU rRNA". It matches the Rfam family "Bacterial small subunit ribosomal RNA", at positions 40 to 518 of the family's 1533-position model. The record is from RNAcentral.